This 773-nucleotide long non-coding RNA is filed under the name Homo sapiens (human). RNAcentral's name for it is "non-protein coding lnc-TLR3-1:1". Lineage: Eukaryota; Metazoa; Chordata; Mammalia; Primates; Hominidae. The record is from RNAcentral.
CUCCUGCAUCCUGGGCACUUCUCCACUCCAAUGUGACAGCAGUGAAUCAAACGACAGCUAGCCCUGCCCGCAGGCACUUGCAUUCCAGAGAGAGGAGACAAAGAAUACAAAACUAAAAAUAUAAAAGACGAUGUGCCACACGUUGGAAAGCGAUACAUACUCUGGAGGAAGCAACCCAUACAUGACAGAUACUGCUAUUAUAACUCAGCACCAUCCAUUCAGUCAUCGUGUGGUCUUCAUCUUUUGAAGCCUCAUUUUCUCAUCUGUAGAACUUGCCAUGAAGCUUUGUUACCAUGACGUCACAUGCUAUCCAUGGGGUUUUGUUGCUGUUACAGAGGUCCCCGUGAUAUGCUGUCCUGCAUUUCUAGACAUGUCUUUGGUUUGGAAGCCUGACACCACCAAAAGAGAACUGCAGUGCAAAUGGUUUUGAAAUCCUCCACUAAUCAUCCUAGAAGCUCAGCUAGUUCCAGGGCCUUCCAUAAUUCCAAUUCCAAAGGACUUCAUAUCAAAACAUUCUUUGCUUGUUUUGCUACCCCCCAAGAUUGCAUUUAUCCCUUCUCUGGAGAUUUUAACAGUUGGUGAGCUACCCUAGGCUCUGGUGGCACCUUCUAUAAGUGACCCUUGACCUUCCACUUUCCUGAACUGAUGAAAACAUAGCUGUGUUAGCUCAAAUAAAUAUUUCCUAACUGCCUGCUUUGGGGAAAAUGCUGUGUGAAAUGCUUGAUGGAUUUAUUUAUUCAACACCUGUUUAUGAAGUGUUGAUUAUGUGCUAG